AUGCCUAUGGCACAAUCGGACGUCGUCGUCGCAGUUAGGGAAAUCCCUAACGAUAUGCUACAGGAAAUCCUGAUGAAGCUGCCGACCAAGGACGUGGCCCGCUGCUGCUGCGUCUCCAGGCAGUGGCGCAGCGCCCUCGGAGACCCCUCCUUCCGCAAGCUCCACGCAGCGAGCCAUGCCGCGCUCUCGGCAGAGCCCGAGUUCUUGCGCUUAUCCGGUGUACCAUGCGGUAUCGGCCAGAGCGUCAAGACCAGUGUCUUCAGCUUAUCGUCGGAUAAACCCAUGUGCUCCAUCGCCAAGCCCGAAGGUUACGGCCUCGCCGACAUCUGCAACGGCCUCCUUUGCUUCGUGGACGAGCACGGUGCUCAGGCACCGGCGCUGGUGUGCAACCCCGUCACCGGCGAGACGCUGGAGCUUCCGGCGGCCCCUCCGCUCAGCAACAAGGAUCAUGCGUAUUUCUUUGCCUUUGGGUUCAGUCCGCCCACCAACGAGUACAAGCUCUUCCGUCUCUCUUUCCCGCUAUGCUCGUACUCCUCCGAAGAACAACGGGUGAACGUGGACGUCUACACCUUGGGUGACGCCCGCGGAUGGCGCAAAGACUCGUUCCUCUCAUCCUCUCGCCCACUAACCAGAGGAAAUGACACUUCGACGCCAGUACUGAUCGAUGGUAAACUUCACUCUAACACCAAAGGCUGGAAUGCACCCAUGUGGCAGGUGGCUGCCGGAGUGCUGGUAGUGGACGUGCCUACCGAGACGUGCCACGCCUACCCUCUCCCGGACGAUCUCGGGACCUAUCGAUACGAUAAUCCACUGGCCUUUGAGCUCAAGGGGCAGCUGUGCCUCGCCGCACACGUGCUCAACAGCUAUAAUCGCCCCAAGGCCCUCCGCUUCUGGGUCAUGGCCACGGAGAACAAGGAAUCGGACAGCGAGAAGGAGCCGCACUGGGAGUUGCGCUACAGCUUCUUCGUGCAGGUGGAACCUCCGAUCCCCAUUCGAUGGCCAUGGAGCUGUGUGUCCUGGAGUGCAUGGUUUCAACAUGAGACGCUCUUCUACACGUGCAACGACACCUUGUACAAGUAUGACACGAGGUCGUCCGUUCCUGACCACGGUCGACUGCUGCAGUGGGACAAGCAGCUCCAACGGAUACCGCCAUAUGAAUGGCUAUGGUUCAUCCAUCGGGGUUACCGUCCAACUCUGGUCUCGCCUCGCAUCUUUGAAUUACCACCGUCACAAGACGAGACGAUAAUGGACGUAUGCUCUUAA
Molecule: ribosomal RNA, 1263 nt
Filed under: Triticum aestivum (bread wheat)
Lineage: Eukaryota; Viridiplantae; Streptophyta; Magnoliopsida; Poales; Poaceae
Description: partial small subunit ribosomal RNA
Source: RNAcentral